RNAcentral lists this ribosomal RNA (2718 nucleotides) under Triticum aestivum (bread wheat). RNAcentral's name for it is "partial small subunit ribosomal RNA". The record is from RNAcentral. Lineage: Eukaryota; Viridiplantae; Streptophyta; Magnoliopsida; Poales; Poaceae.
AUGGACACCUCCAUUCUCACGGUGCUGAACAAGAUCGGCGAGGUCGCGCAGUUCGCCGUGGCGGAGUACCAGCGCCUGCAGGAUGUAGACAAGCAGGUAGACGACCUCUGUUCCAAACUCGAGUUCUUGAUGGCCAUGAUCCAGGUCGCGGAGGAGGGCAACAGGAUCAAACGCGACGAGCUGGUGCGUGUGUGGGUGAACCACCUUCGCAGCGCCGUGUUCCAGGCCGAAGACAUCGCCGACGAGUACUUCCAAGAGGUGUACCAGUCGCGACCAGGGUUCGAGAGAAAACAAGCAAGGCGAUGCCCAUGCAUCCCGUGCUUCAACUUGUCGGAGGUACCUGUUCGGUAUGAUUUGGCAGGGCAGAUCAAGGAGCUUCUCGGCCGCCUGGACGAUAUCCAGAACAACAAGUUGUUGAACAUGCGACCCAGAAUGGAUGGUGCUCUCGACAACAACAUCCAAGCUAUUGACAAGCCAACCAUAGGUACUAUGGUAGUCGAGGGGCGUGUUGAUGCCGCCGUCGGUUUCGAUGGUUAUAUCAAGUCCAUAAUAAACCUGCUUCUCGAGGACAAGGGAUCCACAGUGGUAGUAGUUACCGGGGAGAGUGGCAUUGGCAAAUCAACUGCGGCACGAGCAGUUCUCGGGGACCGGACCGUAAACAGAAGUUUUGAUAUCUGUGUUUGGGUGUGCUUGCCAGCAAAAUCAAGGGUGGACAAGUACUUGGAUCAAAUUUGGAAGCAGAGUGAUGAACAAACACACCAUGGCUGUGGCAGAAGUGAGUUCAAGCAAGUUCUGGCUAAAAUGAAAUUUUUGGUAGUGUUGGAUGGUAUGGACAGCAUGGAUGAGCUUACGGGCGUAUUAAGGGAGCUGCCUGGUGGCGCCAAGGGGAGCAGGAUAGUUGUAACCACACAGCUUCCAGAUGAAGAAAUCAAGCAACGCAGAUCUGGCGUAACCACAGUGGAAGUCAAAUCCCUUGAGCAGGCAGAUUGCGUUGAAUUUCUUGACAAGGUGUUUUCUGGCCGUUGCCGCCGUGUUUACAAGGAAAACCAGGACAAGUUUGUUGACAAAAUAUACAAGAUUUCAGGAGGACUUCCUCUUGCUGUUGUAUUGCUUGGAGGACUCCUGUACUUCAAAGACCAUGAAACCCAAUGGAAUGAGGUAUUCGAUCUACUGGAAUCCUAUGCUCGCAAGAGGCUAAUCAAGCGGCUACUGACAGUGAGCUAUGCCACGAUGCCUACAAUCCUCAAGUCAUGUUUCCUCUACUUUGCGGCCAUGCCUCCGAAUGUCCCCCUUGACCUCAAGAAACUGCACAGGCUGUGGAGUGCUGAGGGAAUUGCUGAAUCGGAAUCCGGAGGUGGUUUUACAGAGAAUGAGGUGUUGGCCCGGUGUCUCCGUGUGCUGGUCUCACGGGGCCUUGUCGAAAGAAUGGAAGAUGGCACCAAGAUAUGCAUCCAUCAGAGUGUUCACGGGUUUGCGAAGGAAAUAGCACAUGAGACCGGCUUCAUGGAAUCUGAUAGUAAAUUUGGCAUCCGUGGUGCGUCAACUGUUCGUGGCCUUUCCAUCCACAACUAUGUUGACAGGGUUAUUCGUAUUGACAAGGAAAACUGCUUUCCAAAGCUUCGUACCUUACUCGGAGAUUUUGCAGAAGAUUCUAUCACUGAAGUAGCUCAUGCAAAGCGAGGCUUGAGGAAGAGUAGGCUGGAAUUCCUGCGUCACUCCAAGUUCCUUCGAGUUGUUGAUCUGCAUGGUGUCAAACUUGGCACAUUACCGGACAGCAUUGGUGACAUGAUCCACCUAAGGUACCUUGGCCUCCGUAGCUGCUGCUUAAUGGAUCUCCCACCAUCGGUUGCCAAGUUGUUGAAUCUGGAGACCUUGGACAUAACUGAUAAUCAAGUCCAGAGUAUUGUGGAUGAAUUUUGGAAAAUAAAGAAGCUCAAGCAUGUCCUCGCAGAAAAGCUCACACUGCCACUUUCAGCAGCCUCCAUGGAUUUGGUUACUGAACUUGAAACACUCCAAGGAGUGAGAUUGUCUUCACAGUGGACGCAGGAGAACUGCCCAAUAAAGAAUAUGGCGAAAAUCUUCUCUUUGGCGGUGGUGGGUGCAACAGCUGCAUGUGUGCGACUGCUUGCUAAGGCGCUAGAGGAAAAAAGGGCACUUCAUCAUUUAAAGAUAGCAGGUGACCGCAUUCCCCUGUUGCGUUCAUCCAGAUAUCAACCACUACAGUACCUGCAAUUAGAUGGGAAGAUCCUUUCAGAUGAGGGGGCUGCACAAUCUUAUCAUACCCGUCGUCCUAUAACAGCUUCUAGGAUUGUCCUGAGGUCAUCUUGUAUGUCUCAAGAGUUGCUCGGCAGAUUUUUGUCGCAGCCAAUCGUAAAUGAGCUGGAAUUGCUAGACAACUCAUUCACUGACUUGAAGUUGUUGCUCCAAGGGGAUGCAUUUAAAUACCUCAAAAAGCUCAAGCUUGGGAACCUGAAAGAAUUGGAAGAACUAGUUAUAGGAGAGUCUGCAGUGCCUAACCUUAUGACCUUGGAGAUUUUUGGAUGCCCCAAACUGAAGAAAAUCCAAGGCCUCAAGAAUUUAGAACAACUCAAAAAUUUGUUCUUCUUUGACAUGCCAGAGAUUGUUGCUCAACUCGAAGCUGUGGACAAAGAACUCUCCGGCAAGAUCAAACAUUACAUUGUAAAGGCGCUUACCUGGACGGCUAGACCAGAAGGAUAA